GGAACUACGUCUAUGAUCAACAUGUACCCCUUCUUUGGUUUCCUUAUCUCCAACUUCUUCUCCGUCUUCAUUGCCAUUUCUUUGCAUGCAUUUCUUGUUCAUCCUGGUCUUCAUUUUCUUAUCUUUCUCCACCAAGGUUUCUUCCUUUGAUCUCCUUUCGAAGCUCCCUCUUCUCUUUUUGAAUGGAAAUGCUUUCUCACCCUCACACCAUCUCCCAUCUUGGUGGAAAGAAGUUGAUCGUUGAAAAGCCAUAGUUGGUGUUUUUGCACCCAGGAAAACUCCUCC
Molecule: unclassified non-coding RNA, 285 nt
Filed under: Hevea brasiliensis (rubber tree)
Lineage: Eukaryota; Viridiplantae; Streptophyta; Magnoliopsida; Malpighiales; Euphorbiaceae
Source: RNAcentral